Molecule: ribosomal RNA, 1348 nt
Filed under: Enterococcus faecium
Lineage: Bacteria; Bacillati; Bacillota; Bacilli; Lactobacillales; Enterococcaceae
Description: bacterial SSU rRNA
Rfam family: Bacterial small subunit ribosomal RNA
Source: RNAcentral
AUUGCAGUCGACGCUUCUUUUUCACCGGAGCUUGCUCCACCGGAAAAAGAGGAGUGGCGAACGGGUGAGUAACACGUGGGUAACCUGCCCAUCAGAAGGGGAUAACACUUGGAAACAGGUGCUAAUACCGUAUAACAAUCAAAACCGCAUGGUUUUGAUUUGAAAGGCGCUUUCGGGUGUCGCUGAUGGAUGGACCCGCGGUGCAUUAGCUAGUUGGUGAGGUAACGGCUCACCAAGGCCACGAUGCAUAGCCGACCUGAGAGGGUGAUCGGCCACAUUGGGACUGAGACACGGCCCAAACUCCUACGGGAGGCAGCAGUAGGGAAUCUUCGGCAAUGGACGAAAGUCUGACCGAGCAACGCCGCGUGAGUGAAGAAGGUUUUCGGAUCGUAAAACUCUGUUGUUAGAGAAGAACAAGGAUGAGAGUAACUGUUCAUCCCUUGACGGUAUCUAACCAGAAAGCCACGGCUAACUACGUGCCAGCAGCCGCGGUAAUACGUAGGUGGCAAGCGUUGUCCGGAUUUAUUGGGCGUAAAGCGAGCGCAGGCGGUUUCUUAAGUCUGAUGUGAAAGCCCCCGGCUCAACCGGGGAGGGUCAUUGGAAACUGGGAGACUUGAGUGCAGAAGAGGAGAGUGGAAUUCCAUGUGUAGCGGUGAAAUGCGUAGAUAUAUGGAGGAACACCAGUGGCGAAGGCGGCUCUCUGGUCUGUAACUGACGCUGAGGCUCGAAAGCGUGGGGAGCAAACAGGAUUAGAUACCCUGGUAGUCCACGCCGUAAACGAUGAGUGCUAAGUGUUGGAGGGUUUCCGCCCUUCAGUGCUGCAGCUAACGCAUUAAGCACUCCGCCUGGGGAGUACGACCGCAAGGUUGAAACUCAAAGGAAUUGACGGGGGCCCGCACAAGCGGUGGAGCAUGUGGUUUAAUUCGAAGCAACGCGAAGAACCUUACCAGGUCUUGACAUCCUUUGACCACUCUAGAGAUAGAGCUUCCCCUUCGGGGGCAAAGUGACAGGUGGUGCAUGGUUGUCGUCAGCUCGGGUCGUGAAAUGUUGGGUUAAGUCCCGCAACGAGCGCAACCCUUAUUGUUAGUUGCCAUCAUUCAGUUGGGCAUUUAGCAAGACUGCCGGUGACAACCGGAAGAAGGUGGGGAUGACGUCAAAUCAUCAUGCCCCUUAAGACCGGGGCUACACGGGCUACAAUGGGAAGUAAAUUUGCAAAUCCCGCUAAACAAAUCCUUAAAGCUUCUCCAUUCGGAAUGGAGGUGCUCCCCGGUAGGGAACCCGAAAAACCGGAACCCCCCCCCGGGAAAACCUUCCCGGCCCUUUAAAAAAAGUGUGGGGAAUUAAAAAA